UACGGGGGGAGCAAGCGUUGUUCGGAUUUACUGGGCGUAAAGGGCGCGUAGGCGGUCAGCACAAGUCAGUUGUGAAAUCUCCGGGCUUAACUCGGAAAGGUCAACUGAUACUGUGCGACUAGAGUGCAGAAGGGGCAACUGGAAUUCUCGGUGUAGCGGUGAAAUGCGUAGAUAUCGAGAGGAACACCUGCGGCGAAGGCGGGUUGCUGGGCUGACACUGACGCUGAUGCGCGGAAGCCAGGGGAGCGAACGGG
Molecule: ribosomal RNA, 254 nt
Filed under: uncultured bacterium
Lineage: Bacteria
Description: partial 16S ribosomal RNA
Rfam family: Bacterial small subunit ribosomal RNA
Source: RNAcentral